Molecule: ribosomal RNA, 429 nt
Filed under: Pseudomonadota bacterium
Lineage: Bacteria; Pseudomonadati; Pseudomonadota
Description: Proteobacteria bacterium partial 16S ribosomal RNA
Rfam family: Bacterial small subunit ribosomal RNA
Source: RNAcentral
UGGGGAAUAUUGGACAAUGGGCGAAAGCCUGAUCCAGCCAUGCCGCGUUUGUGAAGAAGGUCUUCGGAUUGUAAAGCACUUUAAGUUGGGAGGAAGGGCAGUAAGCGAAUACCUUGCUGUUUUGACGUUACCGACAGAAUAAGCACCGGCUAACUCUGUGCAAGCAGCCGCGGUAAUACAGAGGGUGCAAGCGUUAAUCGGAAUUACUGGGCGUAAAGCGCGCGUAGGUGGUUCGUUAAGUUGAAUGUGAAAGCCCCGGGCUCAAUCUGGGAACUGCAUCCAAAACUGGCGAGCUAGAGUAGGGCAGAGGGUGGUGGAAUUUCCUGUGUAGCGGUGAAAUGCGUAGAUAUAGGAAGGAACACCAGUGGCGAAGGCGACCACCUGGGCUCAUACUGACACUGAGGUGCGAAAGCGUGGGGAGCAAACAGG